CAACAAUGUCCCCUCUCAUUUUCCGAUCCCGAUUCUUUUCCCUUCUGAAGAAUCGCCAUGGCCGUCUUAUGAGCUCCGACCUCGCUUCAACCCCUUCCAAAGAUGCCCUCAAUGCCUCUCAGAAGCUCGUCUCCGAUCAGAUUCCACCUGAUGCUCAAACCACUUCUGCUACUUCUUCUUCUUCUUCCUCUAGUAAGCCCUGGAAUUUCUUCAAGUAUAGUUUGAUUGGUGCUCUCACAGGUGCAACUGCGGUUGCUGGUUACGCCAGUUAUGGUAUUUUGUCCCUUCCUUCUUUAUAACUCCUUAUCUCUCGUUUAGCAUGAUGCUAUUUGAUCUGGUUUCUAUUUGAUUUUAUUUCAUGAAUGGAUUGGAGUUACGAGCUGUUGAUUUGUUUUUCAGCCUAUAGUUAUGAUGAAAUUGAGGAGAAGGCGAAAACUUUACGUCGUUCUGCUAGUCAUACAUCGAGGAAAGUUUAAAUGAAAUAUUUAAACUUUCCCUAACGUCGGGUGGAGUGACGUUGCAAAAAGUUUAAUAAUAAUUAUUGUUUAAACUUUCUCCAACGUGAAACCUGCCACACAUCGUGGAAAGUGUACAUAUUGAAGUGACAAUGGUCACCUUUCCCUAACGUGUGGCAGGGGACACGUUGAGGAAAGUUUAAAUGAUACAGACACUUUAUUUAUUUAAAUAAUAAAUAAUGAAUUUAUUACUUAAACCUUCUACGACGUGUGUACUACAGACGUAGGCAAAAGGUACAUUUCUAGAUAUUUUCGAAGACGUCGGAGAAAGUCCACACUAUUUAUUCUACCUUCAAAACACAGAAUAGAAUGCAAAAAGAAAAUGAACCCAAAACCGACCAAGAGAGAGGGAGAGUAGGAGAGUUGUGCUGCCGUCAUCGUUCGUCUUUGCCGCCACCACUGUUGGAAGCGUCCUCUUUUCUUCUCUUUUUCUUUUUCAUUUCAAAUUUUUCACUUCACUGUACCCUUUCAAAUCAUAGCAUAGCUAGAAUCCAGAGCACCGCAAAAUGUGUUUAUGAAUCCGCAUUGAAACACAAAGUUAAAAAAAAAAAAAAAAACCCACAAAGAAACUACAAGAAUAAUAGAAGUAUGCAAUUGAAACAGAACGUAACAAGCUAGAAGAAGUAGAUGAUGAUGAUGAAAAACAAAGAAAAGAAAACAAAGUUUAGGCUUUUCACAAUGUCACGUCGGGGAAGGGUUCCACGUUGUGAUGUCGCGAAAACCCUUUCCCGACGUGCUGACAAUGUGCGUCGGUGAGCGUUUCCCCAUCAUCAACAUGAUCUUCGUCAGGGAAAGUAUCCCUAACGUACAUGUCAACGUUGGGGUAAAUGAAUAAAAUGGAUUCUUGCAACUCUCUCGUGUGGUAAAUGAAUAAAUGGACGUCAUUUUCAAAACCAAUAUAUAUAUAAAAAAAAAAGUAAAUUCUAUUCCAAAAGUGAGUCUUCUCUUCUCUCUUUCAUCCAAUUAAUAUUAUAAUUUGUAAAUACAACAACGUAACACCCAUUUGGAAGAAUGAAAAGCAAUAUGGAGGAGGGAAUUGUCUUUCAAUAAUUGCAGUCUAAUUCCAUGAUCUAUAACUUACAUAUAACAUUCUACUACGUUCUUCCACAACUUUCCCACAUCUCUUACCUAACAAUAUAUUCAAAUUUUGCCUUUUACAAACACUCAAAACUUUCUUUACACUCACUAUUUAUUUCUUUUUUUUAAACCCUUAAUUAAAAACUAUAUUUUUUACAAAAAAAAUAUUUACAAUUUACAAAUUAUAGUAAAUUGUAUUAUCUAUUAAACUCUUAUUACUGAUAUCGAUAGAUUGUUACUCGUGUUUACUAUCAAAUUUAAAAUUUUACUUAUUUUAUAAAUAUUUUUAUUCAUUUGGUUAUAUUUAGAAAUGUUUCUAAGUUUAUUUUUUGAAUAAAUAUGCGCAUCAAACUUAAAAUUUUAGUUGAUUUAUUAAUUAAAUAAGAAAAUAAUAUUUUUUUAAAAAGAUGAUUUUGGUUCUUUGUGAACUAUUUUGUGAACCAAACUCCUAUAGGAAAGAUAUCCCUCAUGUUUCAUAUGGGAGAUACAAAAAAUAUACUUGUUUGUUUUUUUUUUUUUUUUUUGAGAUUUUCGGUUUUUUCAAGUAUUCUCAUUUUGUUUUUUCGAGCAUGUUUUGUUCCAUAUUUUGAACAUAAUCAAAAGGGUGUGAAAAUUUUGAUCGGCUUCUAGUGCAUAUCUGAUCAAGAUAAACGAGUUUGGAUUGUUUUAUUCUAAGGCACUGUGGAAAUUUUUCAAACUACUUGCACACCAGGCAUAGCCGUGAAAUGUCUUAAAAAGAGUGUGAUCCACAACUAAAUCUUUUACGAGCUUCUAUUUUCUAAGUUUUGUUCGUAGCUUCUGUUUUCUGAUUUUCAUUCCCAUUAUCAUGGAGCUAAUUUGGAAUUUUGGUUCUUCUGUUAUUGUUGCAUUCUUGUACUCAGUUUCUAUGUGAUUGUAAUUGAUCCAACAUAACUUAUGUUUUGAAAGAACAUAGUAGGUUCAAACUACAAUAAAAUACACUCAAAACCCAAGUAAAUGUUAUAUUUCUCAGACAAGAUUCAUAUAUGAAAAUUUUGAAAAAUUUUGAACUAAACACUCAUGAUCCUCACAUCAUUUCUCAAUUAAUUAAUGACAAAGCUUCACACUACAAGAAAGACAUUAUAUCUCAAAGCUUCUUUAGCAUGUCGAGAGAUAGGGUCUCUUCGGUGUCAUGACAUGAGCGUCGAAAGACCUUUAAUAACUGACAAGUAUAUGUGAUAUAGAGUUUCAUAUUUAAAUGUGAUUUAAAUAUUGAUAAAAUGAAUGUGAACUCAUAUUCGGAAGCUCAUAAUUGAUGAAAAUGGUCAAAGUUGUAAAAAGUUAAAAUGUUGACUUUUGACUUUGAAAAGUCAAACUUUGAUUGACUUUAUAUUCAAAUGUGAUUUGAAUUUUAGAAAAAUAAAUGUGAAUUCAUACUCGGGAGAUCAAAAUUAGUCUAUACAGAUAAAAUGGUAAGAAGUUAAAGUUUGACUUUGACUUGAAUGGUCAAAUGACCAUAUUGCUUUUCGACUAAAGUUAGUGGAAAAAUCCAACAUUUUGUUGGAUAAUCCCACUAACACUGAGUGGGAUAAGUGGCUACAUGAGAUAUAAACACCUAACCUACUAAGUUCUACUAAUGAUUAGUGGAAUUUUAGGUGUUAGAGAUGUGGUGAACUAAUUACAUGCAUUUUUGUAUGUAACUAGGUUAUUUAAAGGGAUUAUUUCAAAUAUUAGAAGACUUUUGUCAAUUUUGAUAAUUUUUAUUUUUAAAAAAAUUAUACUAAAUUGAUAUUUGUCUCCCAGAUUUCAAACCUAAGUUCUUCCUCCAUUUUCCACUUCUCUCUAAAAUUUCUUCACUUAUCGGGUCCCUCCCACCACCCAGUUCUAAGUCUGAAGAAUAGUAGGUAAUCUCUAGUGGUGGUCUCGUAUUCGUGUUCGUGAGGAGAUAUCAAGGAAUCAAGAAGGUAUGAAGGUAUGUUCUCUUUUAACCCUAAUUUCAUUUAGUUAGGAUUUUAUAUGUAAAUAUCUAAAUUGUUUAGAUGUAAUUAGAGUAAAUUUGAUCUUGUUUUUUGCUGCAUGUGUCUCAUGUUCUAUCAAUAUAUAUGUAUAAAACCUAAAUCCUUAAUAGCGUCUUCGUCUUCGAUCUUUCCUAGCCUCACAUAGUGGCACGUCUACUUCAUGCCUCUCCACCUUGCCCCCCUCCGCCAGCAGCCUCUCUUCCAGUCUCAUUGUCUCUUCGCCAUUCCCAAAAAAGUUUGUCAUCUUGCCUUACUUUUUUGCAGUUUGCACUCACAGUCGCCUCCUCCAAACUUAGGUUACUCUUCUUUCUUUCUACCUUUUUCCUUUACUUGAAAUUAUUAUUUUGUUAUUUCAAAAAAAUUUGAUUCAUUUAGAUCUUUAUAAUUAAUUGUUUUUUGUGAGCUCUCUAAAAUUAUAAAAACAUGGUUGGCACUUGGUAACUUUUUUCACAUUCUUGUUGGUUGAGAAAAGGAACAUAAAUUAUAUUUCAUAAUUAUUAAUUUCAAUUUAUACACUAUAUAUCUUCAUCCUUCUUUUUCUUUGAUUCUCUACUCCUAUUUCUCUAUUUAUAAAGAACUUCGAUAAAAGUUGCCUUUCUACCUUUGCGUUGCUGAUUUACAAAUGAUAAACAUGUAGUACAAGUUUUUAUAUCGCUUGUCCAAGUGUAAGCAAAACGAUAGGUUUUCUAAGUAAGCUAGUGUCAAACACAAAAAACUAUCAAAUCUUAGUUCUAAGAUCUACUUCUCAUUUAAGCGAUAUACAAUUCUAUAUAGUAUAAAGUAAAUGUGUGUAUGUGUAUUAAAAACUACUAUUUAUACUAGAGAUUCUGUAAAAGAUGAUUAGAAAUGGGGGAAGUGUGGAAAGUGGACUAAUCUUGUAUUGAGAAAGUGUGAAGGAAAGUCUCUUUGUUAUAGGAAAAUAAGUCAUGCAGUAGUCUUUGACGGGAUAAAGAUCAAUUAAUUAUCUUCUAAUUAAGGUGAACACCUCUCAGUGCCUAAACACCAUACUUACUCACCUCUUGGGUUUCAAAUGAUAAAGAUAAAUUACUUGAUAACUAUCUAGAUAUCAUCACUUGUAGGGUCAUAAAGGGUGACAACCUCUCAGCGUCGUGUUACCACACUUGUUCUUCUUUCAGGACACAAGUCAUGGAGGUUUAAUCACCACAUGAUGAAGUUUGUCUCCAAACUCCUUUAUGUGUGUGUUUAGUUAUGUUCUUGCUACUUACUCUCUCGAGCAGUUGGUGAAAAAUACUGGCCAAGCGAUGGAGUAAAGCUCAGUUAAACGCGAUGAACCUUAUAAGCAAGAUCUCUUAUCAAGAACUUAUCACGAGUCUAAACUACUUAUAACACUUCAACAGAUGAACAAUAAAGAAAUGAUAGAUUGAAAGGAAAUAAAGUUACAAUGUCUUAAAGAAUGUAGGCCUUUCGGCCAUGUAUAAUAUGAAAGUCAACAUUACGAAAGUACAAAAAUUGAAAGCAAGAAAGGGACUCGAGCCGCAGAAUGCCUAAGAACGUGUGUAGUAGCCAAGGAAUGAGAGAAAUGUCGUGAUAGCACUACCCUUCCUUUAUAUAACAGCUCCUCAUUACUCCACUAGUACUUUCCUCCUUGGUUCACCCCUUUUUUAGCUCUACUAUAAUUCUCUGGAGUUCUUGAUCAUUCUCAACUUCCUUCUCUAUAAGUUCUACGUCAACAAUGCCCGUUGUCGUCAUUGUGUUUAACUCCACAGUUUGAUCUUUCCUUAAGAGUGCAUCAACGGUUUUAUUCUGCAAACCCGGUUAGUAUAAUAUCUCGAAAUCACACCCCAAGAGUUUAGUUAACCAUUUCUGGAAUUGAGGCUGAACUUCCCUUUGUUCCAACAAGAAUUUCAGAGCUUUCUAAUCUAAAAUAAUAGUGAAUUUCCUCACCAGUAGGUAGUGCCUCCAUUUCUGCACUAAGAGAACAACUGCCAUGAGUUUCCGUUCAUAUAUGGACUUAACUUGAGCUCUUGAGGAAAGAGCUCAAGUUUCUGACUGAAGAAUGCUAUAGGGUGUCCUUGUGCAACAGCACUCCUAAGCCUACUCCUGAAGUAUCAGUCUCAAUUGUAAAUGGCUUUGACCAAUCAGGCAGUGCUAACACUGGUAUGGUCGUCAUUGCUAAUUUCAGUUGUUCAUAAGCUGCUAUGGCUUCCUCAUUCCACUUGAACGCGUUCUUCUGAAGUAACUUAGUUAAGGGCGUGGCAAUCUCCCCAUAACUCUUCACAAACUUCCGAUAAUAUCCAGUCAGUCGGCCCUAGAAAUCCCCUCAGCCCAAUUAUGUCCUUCAGUUGUGGCCAAUUAAUCAUGCUUCGAAUCUUUUCCUCAUCAGCUUCGACUCCUCUACUGGAAAUCAUGUGCCUCAAAUACUGAACUUAGGAGUGGGCUAUUACACAUUUGUUUCUAUUUGCAAAUAGUUGAUCAUCCCUCAAUAUGGCAAAUACCAUCCCCAAAUGUUUCAUAUGCUCGUUAUAUUAGCACUAUAAACUAAAAUAUCAUUAAAAAAAGACAAGAACACAUCUUCUGAGGAAAGGUUUGAAUAUCUGGUUCAUCAAAGAUUGGAAGGUGGCCGGAGCAUUAGUGAGACCAAAAGGCAUCACCAAGAAUUCGUAGUGCCCUUCGUGCGUGCGAAAAGCUGUCUUCUCCACAUCUUCCCCCUUCAUUCUUAUCUGAUGAUAUCCAGAUUUAAGAUCUAAUUUAGAGAAUAAUGUUGCCCCAUGUAGUUCAUUUAGGAGUUAUUCAAUCACCAGAAUGGGAAAUUUGUCGGCCACGGUUACUUGAUUCAGUUUACGGUAGUCUACACAGAAUCUCCAUCUCUAUCCUUCUUCUUCACCAAUAGUACCGGGCUAGAGUAAGGGUUGUGACUUGGCCAAAUCACCCUUGCUUGUAGCAUUUCUAUCACCAGUUUUUCAAUCUCUUCUUUUCGUACAUGUCCAUACUUAUAUGGUCGAACAUUGAUUGGUGUGAUCGGGUAAAGUCAAAAUGCGGUGGUCUACGGUUCUCUUGGGAGGUAAACCUAUUGGUAGCCUAAAUAUGUACGUGUACUGAUUGAGUAAUUGUUGAACCAUGGGUAAUCCUUCAUCAUCUCCUUUUAACUCACUUUUUGUUUCAUAUUCCUCUUCCCAUUCAACUUCAUAAUUUUGUAAUUCUAAAAGAAAUCCUUGGUCGCCUGAUUGCCAUGCUUUUUCUAUGGUCCUUAACGAACAUUCUGACUUGAUGAGGGAAGGGUCCCCUUUCAGUGUUAUUCUUCUUCUUUUUUCCAAAAUGUCAUGGUUAGGGAUGAUCAGUGCACUUUCAUGGUUCCUGUCGAAUCAAGCAAUUGCAUCCCUAAGACCAAGUCUACAUUUCCCAGUUCCACCGCCAAGAAGUCAACUAUGGGUCCCCUUUCAGUGUUAUUCUUCUUCUUUUUUCCAAAAUGUCAUGGUUUCUGUCACCAAUAACCCUCGGGCACCUCAGAGGAAUAGUACUGAUCAUCGAAAACCAGAGCCUGUAGAGAUUGUUUGUAACUACUGUCGUAAGCCAGGCCAUAUGAAACGUGAUUGUCGGAAAUUGCUAUGUAAGAAUAGUCAACGAUCUCAACAUGCUCAGAUAGCCUCCACAUGUGAUAUACCAGAGGCGUCAGUUACUAUUUCGACAGAUGAGUUUGCUAAGUUUCAGAAUUACCAAGAGUCAUUACAAGCGUCAUCUUCCUCUACUCCGAUUGCAUCCACUGUUGCCCCAGGUAAAGUAAAGUGUCUUCUUACAUCAUCUACCAAAUGGGUCAUAGACUCUGGUGCCACAGCUCAUAUGACAGGUAAUUCUCACCUAUUUUCUAGACCGUUGUCCCCUGCCCCUUUUCCAUCGGUUACAUUGGUCGAUGGCUCCACAUCUUCUGUUCUUGGCUCUGGCACUAUUCACCUUACCCCAUCAUUUUCUCUCUCUUCUGUGUUACAUUUGCCUAACUUAUCCUUUAAUUUAAUUUCUACUAGUCAACUUACUCAUGACCUAAAUUGUGUUGUCAUGUUCUUUUCUGGUUAUUGCUUGUUUCAGGAUCGUGUGACGAAGAAGAUUAUUGGUAGAGGAUAUGAGUCAGGAGGCCUUUAUCUCUUUGAUCAUCAAGUAUCGCAAGCUGUGGCGUGUCCUGUCGUUCCCUCUCCUUUUGAAGUCCAUUGUCGUUUAGGUCAUCCAUCUUUGUUCGUGUUGAAGAAACUUUAUCCAGAAUUUAGGUCUUUGUCCUCUUUAAAUUGUGAUUCGUGUCAAUUUGCGAAAUUUCAUCGUCUUAAUGAAAAAUCGUUCUGAGUUAUUAUCUCAUUUUUGUGCCUUUCAUACUGAAAUAAAAAACCAAUUUAAUGUCUCUAUCAAAACUUUGUGUACUGAUAAUGCGGGUGAAUAUUUUUCUCAUUCUCUUGGCUCUUACUUGUGUGAAAAUGGCAUUAUUCAUCAAUCUUCCUGUGCUGACACUCCAUCUCAAAAAUGGUGUUGCAGAGCGGAAAAAUAGGCAUUUACUUGAAACUGCCCGUGCUUUAUCGUUUCAAAUGCAUGUUUCAAAAAUCUUUUGGGUUGAUGCUGUCUCUACAGCUUGUUUUUUGAUUAAUAGAAUGCCUUCCUCUGUUCUUAUAUGGUGAGAUUCCCUAUCGUGUUCUUUUUCCUACCAAGCAUUUGUUUCCUAUUGCUCCUAAGAUAUUUGGUUGUGUCUGUUUUGUUCGUGACGUUCGUCCUCAUCAUACUAAGUUAGAUCCCAAAUCCUUGAAGUGUAAUCUCUCUUGGGUUAUUCACCGUGUUCAAAAGGGUUAUCGUUGUUAUUGUCCAACCUUUAAAAGGUAUCUGGUUUCGCCUGAUGUUGUUUUUUUGAAGAUACACCCUUUACUUCAUCACCAUCGAGUUUGUGUCAGGGGGAGGAUGACAAUCUUUUUAUAUAUGAGGUUACCUCUCCCACACCAUCCUUGUCUACUGAUGUGCCUCCUUCCCGCCUGUUGAUUUCUCAAGUCUACUCCCGACGACCACCACCAACAACCUUCAGACUCAUGUCCUCCAUCAAUGCUUCCUUCAUCAUGUGAUCCAGCGCCAAGUGAUGAUCUUCCUAUUGCUCUUCGCAAAGGUAAACGCAAGUGUACUUACCCCGUUUCUUCCUUUAUUUCCUAUCACCAGUUAUCUCCCUCCACAUAUGUGUUUAUUACGUCUCUUGAGUCCACAUCUAUUCCUAACUCUGUUCAUGAAGCUUUGUCUCAUCCUCGCUGGCAAAAUGCAAUGAUUAAGGAGAUGACUGGUUUAGAUGAUAAUGGUACUUGGGAUUUGGUAUCUCGUCCUGCAGGAAAGAAGGCCAUUGGUUGUAAAUGGGUGUUUGCUGUCAAGAUGAAUCCUGAUGAGAACAGUGGCUCGUUUAAAGGCUCGCCUUGUUGCCAAAGGUUAUGCUCAAAUCUAUGGCACUGAUUAUUCAGAUACAUUCUCUCUGGUUGCCAAGUUAACUUCCAUUCGCCUAUUUCUUUCCAUGGCUGCUACCAAUAAAUGGUCGUUGCAUCAACUUGACCUUAAGAAUGCUUUUCUUCACGGUGAUCUUCAAGAGGAAGUUUAUAUGGAACAACCACCAGGGUUUGUUGCUCAGGGGAGAGUGAUAAAGUAUGUCGCCUUCGAAAAUCUAUGUAUGGUUUGAAACAGAGUCCUCGUGCGUGGUUUGGUAAGUUUAGUCAAGCCCUUGUAUGCUUUGGUAUGAAGAAGAGUACAUCUGAUCAUUCAGUUUUCUGUCGCCGAUCUGAGAAGGGUAUAAUUCUACUAGUUGUAUAUGUUGAUGAUAUUGUUAUUACUGGAAAUGAUGCAUUGGGUAUUUAGUCUCUCAAAACUUUCCUUCAGGGUCAGUUUUAUACAAAAGAUUUGGGCCAAUUGAAAUAUUUUUUGGGCAUUGAAGUGAUGAGAAGCAAGAAAGGUAUUUAUUUGUCUCAACGAAAAUAUGUACUUGAUUUGUUGUCUGAAACAGGAAAAUUAGGCGCCAAACCAAGUGGCACUCCAAUGAUGCCAAAUGAGCAACUUGUUAAAGAAGGAGAAUUAUGUAAAGAUCCUGAGAGAUAUAGGAGAUUAGUUGGGAAGUUGAACUACUUAACAGUGACUCGACCAGACAUUGCAUAUUCUGUAAGUGUUGUAAGUCAAUUCAUGUCUUCCCCUACAGUGGAUCAUUGGGCUGCAGUAGAGCAGAUUUUGUGUUAUCUAAAAGCUGCUCCUGGACGUGGGAUCCUAUACAAAGAUCAUGGACAUACGAGAGUUGAAUGUUUUUCUGAUGCUGAUUGGGCGGGGUCUCGUGAGGAUAGGAGAUCGACUUCUGGAUAUUGUGUUUUUGUAGGUGGAAACUUAGUUUCAUGGAAGAGUAAGAAACAAAAUGUUGUUUCUCGUUCGAGUGCUGAGUCAGAAUAUAGAGCUAUGGCACAAUCUGUGUGUGAAAUAGUAUGGAUUCACCAACUAUUAUCUGAGAUAGGCUUCAGUAACGAACUAAACAUAUUGAGGUGGAUUGUCACUUCAUUCGUGAGAAAAUCCAAGAUAGGUUGGUGUCCACAGGAUAUGUGAAGACCGGAGAACAAUUGGGAGAUAUUCUAACUAAAGCUUUAAAUGGAACAAGGAUAAGCUAGCUAUCUGUGCAACAAGCUGGGCAUGAUCGACAUAUUUGCUCCAGCUUGAGGGGGAGUGUUAUGAUAUAUAUAUAUAUUACAUAUGUCCUUUAUUGUAAUUUUACAUUGUCUCUAGGGUUGUUAAAUUUGGUAGUAUGGGGUUCCAUCUCAAAACCAAUUGGCAAUGAGAGGAGUAGCCCAUCUACCUUAUAUGGAGUAUGAGUCCCCUUGGUUUUUCCAAUGUGGGACUCUCAACUUCUCCAACAAAUUUUAUAGAAGGACUACCCUUAGUUGGAGAUAUAAUGUAAUUAUGGUGGUAGUUGACCUUUUAAGUAAGUACUCCUACUUCCUAACUCUUAAACACCCAAAACAAGUAGCUUCUAUAUUUAUGGAAAGAGUAGUCAGCAAACAUGGCAUUUCCAAGUCUAUUAUUACAAAUAGUUAUAAGAUUUUUUUUACCAAUUUCUUGAGGGAGUUAUUCACCACCAAGGGCACGCUUUUAAAAAGAAGCACGGCUUUUCAUCCGCAAACAGACGGAAAAACAGAAAGAGUAAACAAGUGUCAGGAGACCUAUCUAAGGUGCUUCUGUAAUGAACAGCCGAGAAAAUGGGACAAGUCGAUUCCUUGGGCAAAGUUGUGGUACAACACCACCUUCCAUACGUCUAUCAAAGUAACUCCUUUUCAAACUGUUUAUGGCAGACCCCCCCCCCCCCCCCCCAUUAUUAUCGUAUGGGAUGAAUAAAUCUCCAAAUAAUGAGUUAGAAGCCAUGUUAAAAGAAAGAGACUUAGCAAUCAAUGCCUUGAACGAAAAUCUUUGUGCAGUCCAAAACCGAAUGAAAAAAAAAUGGCAGAUCGGAAUCGGAGAGAAUUGAAGUUCAAGGUAGGGGAUGAAGUCUAUUUGAAACUAAGACCCAAUAGACAACGCUCAUUGGCUAGAAAGAAGUGUGAGAAACUAACGCCAAAAUUUUAUGGGUCGUACAAGAUUACAGAGGAGAUUGGAGAGGUCGUGUACCGUUUGAAGUUACCAGCAGAAGCUGUCAUUCACAAUGUGUUCCACAUUUCUCAACUGAAACUGAAACUCAAAAAACAUGUAGUCCAACGUCAACAACCUAUCCUAACUGAGGACUUCGAAUUGCAGUUGUGGCCAAAAACUGUGUUGGGAGUAUGCUGGAAUAAAGAGCUGAGUGGAAAUGAAUGACUAAUUAAAUGGAAAAAUCUACCAGAUAGAGAAGCCACGUGGGAAUCAGUCUAUCUGCUGAAUCAGCAGUUUUCUAAUUUUCACCUUGAGGGCAUGGUGAACUUGGAACCAAGGGGUAUUGUAAGACCUCAAUCGUUCACACAUAUAAAAAGAAGAGUAGGAAGGUAAAUGAACAAACAAUUAAUGAUGAGAGAAUGUGUAAGGAUUCUACUUGAAUCACACAAUUGUUUGUUCAUUUACCUUUCUGCCCCUCCUUUUAUAUGUGUGAAUGAUUGGGGUCUUACAAUACCCCUAGGUUCUAACUCACCUUGUCCUCAAGGUGGAAGCUAGGGAACUGCUGAUUCAGUAGAUAUACUGAUUCCCAUGUUGCCUCACUAUCCGGUAGAUUCUUCCAUUUGACCAGCCAUUCAUUUCCACACGUCUCCUUGUUCCAUCAUACUCCCAACACAGUUUCCGGCCAUAAUUGUAAUUUGAAGUCCUCGGUUAAAUAUAGGCGGUUACUGUUGAACGACAUGUUGUUUUCCCAACUUCAGUUUCAAUUGGGAAAUGUGGAAAACAUUGUGAAUUACAGCUUCUAGUGGUAGUUUCAAACGAUACGUGACCUCCCCUAUCUCCUCAAUAAUCUCAUACAGCCCAUAAAAUUUCGAAGCUAGCUUCUCACAUUUCUUUCUAACUAAUGAUCUUUGUCUAUAGGGCCGUAGUUUCAAAUAAACUUCAUCACCAACUUUGAACUUGAGUUAUCUGCGAUUCUGAUCUACCAUUUUUUUCAUUCUGUUUUGGGCCGUACAGAGGUUUUCUUUCAAGGCAUUGAUUGCUAAAUCUCUUUCUUUUAACAUGGCUUCUACCUCAUUAUUUGAAGAUUUUUCAUCCCAUAAGAUAACAAUGGAGGGGAGGUGGAGGGUAUUAAUAUAAUUAGAUUAUUCUUAGGAGAUUAUUCUGGAGAUAUUAUUCUGGAGAUAUUAUUUGAUAUUAUUUCCUUAAGUGUAUUUCUCUAUGGUUAUAUAUAGGCUUGUAUCUCUAUUAAAUAAUCAAUGAAAGAUAGAUUAAUUCCAUAAAAUCAACAUGGUAUCAGAGCAAUAGGGUUUUAGUCUCCUUGUAUUCUAGCCGUCACAUUCCCGUUCGUCUGUCUCCGUUGAUUCGUCGACGUAGGCAGAGCCAUACCCAUCAGUAAUCAACACAUCAUGUCUCCAAGUAAUUCGCUCUGCCUCCUAGAUCAAAAUCCUCAUCUCUGAUUCUGCCGCCGCCGCCACUACUCCUUCCGCCAUCACUGCUCCUUCCAUCCACACAGUUCGUCGCACUCUCGACCCAUAUCCGCUCUCCAUUCGUCCUCACUUAGAUCUACUUGUGCGCACAUUGCAAGCACCGAUUUGUUCGUGCAUCUCUGUUCGUGUCUUCGACUUCCAGAUCCGUGUUUUAUUUCAUCUUUCGCCUUCGAAUCAUACUGUUCCAGAUCAGACCGACCUGCCACCGCCGCCCUUUACUCGUACCAAACAAUCUCUUUCGAUUGAAGACUCCCGAUCCUGAAGAGGGUGAAUCUUUGUUCAAAUCCAUGAUCCACCGCUCUGCUCCACUCACAGCCGACGACGCACAGGUUCGGCUCUUGUCCGCUCUCCAUUUGUGAAGCUCGCCGUCAUGAAACACAUCUUCUCUUUUUGCGAAGAACGCCGCAAAGCUCUCUAUCUACUCAACCUCUCAACUCUCUUCAGUUUUCGUUCUGUUCACCCAGAUUUCCUUAGUUCUUAGCAAACUCAAGUUUGUGAUUUCAACCUUGAGUUUGAGGGAGGGUAUUAAUAUAAUUAGAUUAUUCUUAGGAGAUUAUUCUGGAGAUAUUAUUCUGGAGAUAUUAUUUGAUAUUAUUUCCUUAAGUGUAUUUCUCUAUGGUUAUAUAUAGGCUUGUAUCUCUAUUAAAUAAUCAAUGAAAGAUAGAUUAAUUCCAUAAAAUCAACAUGGUAUCAGAGCAAUAGGGUUUUAGUCUCCUUGUAUUCUAGCCGUCACAUUCCCGUUCGUCUGUCUCCGUUGAUUCGUCGACGUAGGCAGAGCCAUACCCAUCAGUAAUCAACACAUCAUGUCUCCAAGUAAUUCGCUCUGCCUCCUAGAUCAAAAUCCUCAUCUCUGAUUCUGCCGCCGCCGCCACUACUCCUUCCGCCAUCACUGCUCCUUCCAUCCACACAGUUCGUCGCACUCUCGACCCAUAUCCGCUCUCCAUUCGUCCUCACUUAGAUCUACUUGUGCCGCACAUUGCAAGCACCGAUUUGUUCGUGCAUCUCUGUUCGUGUCUUCGACUUCCAGAUCCGUGUUUUAUUUCAUCUUUCGCCUUCGAAUCAUACUGUUCCAGAUCAGACCGACCUGCCACCGCCGCCCUUUACUCGUACCAAACAAUCUCUUUCGAUUGAAGACUCCCGAUCCUGAAGAGGGUGAAUCUUUGUUCAAAUCCAUGAUCCACCGCUCUGCUCCACUCACAGCCGACGACGCACAGGUUCGGCUCUUGUCCGCUCUCCAUUUGUGAAGCUCGCCGUCAUGAAACACAUCUUCUCUUUUUGCGAAGAACGCCGCAAAGCUCUCUAUCUACUCAACCUCUCAACUCUCUUCAGUUUUCGUUCUGUUCACCCAGAUUUCCUUAGUUCUUAGCAAACUCAAGUUUGUGAUUUCAACCUUGAGUUUGAGGGAGGGUAUUAAUAUAAUUAGAUUAUUCUUAGGAGAUUAUUCUGGAGAUAUUAUUCUGGAGAUAUUAUUUGAUAUUAUUUCCUUAAGUGUAUUUCUCUAUGGUUAUAUAUAUAGGCUUGUAUCUCUAUUAAAUAAUCAAUGAAAGAUAGAUUAAUUCCAUAAAAUCAACAGAGGGGAGGUCUGCCAUAAACAGUUUGGUAAGGAGUUGUUUUGGUGGACGCAUGGAAAGUGAUAUUAUACCAUAACUCUGCCCAAGGAAUUACUUUAUCCCAUUUUCUUGCAUGCUCAUUGCAGAAACAUCUUAGAUAGGUCUCUAGGCACCUAUUUACUCUCUCGGUUUGUCCAUCAGUUUGCGGGUGACAUGUUGUGCUUCUUUUCAAAAGUGUGUCCAUGGUGGUGGAUAACUCUUUCCAGAAAUUGCUAAGAAAGAUCUUAUCCCGAUCGAUAAUAAUGGAUUUGGGAAUACCAUGUUUGCUGACCACUCUUUCUAGAAAAAUUGAAGCCCAUUGCUUCGCUGUGUACGGGUGUUUAAGAGUUAAGAAGUAGGAAUACUUACUUAAACGGUCAACUACUACCAUAAUUACAUUACAUCCCUCGCUAAGGGUAGUCCCUCUAUGAAAUCCAUCCAAUCUUCCAAUAUCUUUUCAAGAAUGGGAAUGGGUUGUAGCACUCUGGUAGGAUUGGUAGCUUCGAAUUUGUUACGUUGGCAUAUGUCACACUCUUCCACAUAUUAUAGAAUGAGGUUGAACUUCCCUUUGUUCCAACCAGAAUUUCAGAGCUUUCUGAUCUAAAAUAAUAGUGAAUUUCCUCACCAGUAGGUAGUGCCUCCAUUUCUGCACUGAGAGAACAACUGCCAUGAGUUCCCGUUCAUAUAUGGACUUAACUUGAGCUCUUGAGGAAAGAGCUCAAGUUUCUGACUGAAGAAUGCUAUAGGGUGUCCUUGUGACAACAGCGCUCCUAAGCCUACUCCUGAAGUAUCAGUCUCAAUUGUAAAUGGAUGUGACCAAUCAGGCAGUGCUAACACUGGUAUGGUCAUCAUUGCUAAUUUCAGUUGUUCAAAAGUUGCUAUGGCUUCCUCAUUCCACUUGAACGCGUUCUUCUGAAUUAACUUAGUUAAGGGCGCGGCAAUCUCCCCAUAACUCUUCACAAACCUUCGAUAAUAUCCGGUCAGCCCUAGAAAUCCCCUCAGCCCAGUUAUGUCCUUCGGUUGUGGCCAAUUAAUCAUGCUUCGAAUCUUUUCCUCAUCAGCUUCGACUCCUCUACUGGAAAUCAUGUGCCUCAAAUACUGAACUUGGGAGUGGGCUAUUACACAUUUGUUUCUAUUUGCAAAUAGUUGAUCAUCCCUCAAUAUGGCAAAUACCAUCCCCAUAUGUUUCAUAUGCUCGUCUAUAUUAACACUAUAAACUAAAAUAUCAUUAAAAAAAGACAAGAACACAUCUUCUGAGGAAAGGUUUGAAUAUUUGGUUCAUCAAAGAUUGGAAGGUGGCCGGAGCAUUAGUGAGACCAAAAGGCAUCACUAAGAAUUCGUAGUGCCCUUCGUGCGUGCGAAAAGUUGUCUUCUCCACAUCUUCCCCCUUCAUUCUUAUCUGAUGAUAUCCAGAUUUAAGAUCUAAUUUAGAGAAUAAUGUCGCCCCAUGUAGUUCAUCUAGGAGUUCUUCAAUCACCGAAAUGGGGAAUUUGUCGGCCACGGUUACUUGAUUCAGUUUACGGUAGUCUACAUAGAAUCUCCAUCCAUAUCCUUCUUCUUCACCAAUAGUACGGGCUAGAGUAAGGGCUGUGACUUGGCCGAAUCACCCCUGCUUGUAGCAUUUCUAUCACCAGUUUUUCAAUCUCUUCUUUUUGUACAUGUCCAUACUUAUAUGGUCGAACAUUGAUUGGUCUGUGAUCGGGUAAAGUCAAAAUGCAGUGGUCUACGGUUCUCUUGGGAGGUAAACCUAUUGGUAGCCUAAAUAUGUACGUGUAUUGAUUGAGUAAUUGUUGAACCAUGGGUAAUCCUUCAUCAUCUCCUUUUAACUCACUUUCUGUUUCAUAUUCCUCUUCCCAUUCAACUUCAUAAUUUUGCAAUUCUAAAAGAAAUCCUCGGUCGCCUGAUUGCCAUGUUUUUUCUAUGGUCCUCAACGAACAUUCUGACUUGAUGAGGGAAGGGUCCCCUCAGUGUUAUUCUUCUUCCUUUUUUCCAAAAUGUCAUGGUUAGGGAUGGUCAAUGCACCUUCAUGGUUCCUGUCGAAUCAAGUCAUUGCAUCCCUAAAAGUCUACAUUUCCCAGUUCCACCGCAAGAAGUCAGCUAUGACUGUUAACUCCUUCAAUUUCACUUUUACCCUCUUACAUAUUCCUUUUCCUUCGCAACGGGUGCUGUCUUCAAUGGUUACUCCAAAUUGGGUUCUUGGAUCAAUGCCCAACCGCAGUUCUUCCACCAACACUUGACUGAUAAAAUUAUUGGUCGCACUGCUAUCAAUAAGGAGUAUUACCUCUCUUCCAUUCAUUUGUCCUUUCAAUUUCAUAGUUCCUUUGGACGUAACUACCGUGAUCACCCUUAAUUCAAUCUCAGCAAUCUCAUUCAAAUCUAAUUGAUUCGGUUCUAUCACUUCCUCUACCUCAUCCUCUGUGGUCGCUUCCUUUUCGUUACUCUCUUCCUCAUUCAAUAUAAGUAGCAUCAACUCUCUUUUUUCUCUGACCUUGCAUUUAUGGCCGAGUGAAUAUUUUUCAUUACACCUGAAACACAGCCCUUUAUCAAGCUUCGCUGUGUCUGAAAGCCUAUUGACUGGAGGAUCAUUUUUUUGGUAACCCCUUUUACCGGAAUGGUUAUCUGUUUCAUGGCAAACUCUGCCGUCUUUUGUUCAACCUUCUCAUUCUUACCUUGAAUCUUGCCUGUGUUCUCACUUCUUUUGGGCUCAAUCCUACUCAAUUCAUCCAUAGCCAGUUGUAAGGCUAGAUUUCUAUCAUUCACCAGUUGAGCUUCCUUCAUACACUCCUCUAAAGUUCGAGGGUGUCUACUAAUCACUUAUGCUUGUAAUGCGGCUCGAGACCCGUCAAAACGCGUCCUGUAGUACACUUUCGGCCAUGUCAGGGAGUGGAGCUGAAUAUGUAACGAACUUCUUAACAAAAUCGCUAUAGGAUCCUUCUUGCUUGAUACGGAUCAGUCUUGCCCCUAAGCUAUGUUGUUCGGUGUCAUUGAAAAAAUCAAACAUCCUUCCUUUCAAGUCCUCCCAUGAUUCCACCCUCUUUCGGUGGUGGCUCCACCUAUACCAAUCUACUUCCUCUUGUCCAAAACUCACAACUGCUACCUUGACCUUCUUCGCUUCAGUAAGUUAUUAAUCUCAAAGAAGUGUUCCGCCCGGUAAGCCUAGGAUUCGGGAUUCACCCUUGUAAACAUUGGCAUUUACAGCUUCUUGUAUUUACUUCGGUCCACGUUACCUCCACUAUUCUCUGCAGUCGUCUCUGUAUCCUCGAGCUUCUCUUUAAGUUUCAACAUCGGACCUUCAGCAGUCCUAGCCUCUUCUCUUCUUUUGUAACUGUGGUUUUCUCGCAGUUCAUCAGCCAUUCGAUCCAUCAACUUCUUCAUCUCCAGCAUCAUCUCCUUUAAACCCAUAAUUUCUUUUUCAGUCCCAUCUACCCGUUCCUCUAUUUGUUGCUGAGCAAUGAGCGCGCAUGACCACCCCAGUGUGGUGGCUCUAAUACCAAAUGUAAGGAUUCUACUUGACUCACACAAAUAUUACACCCUCACAAUGGCAAAACAGAGGCAGCACUCAGUAAUCUUUAUUUAUAUAUAGGCUAAAACAGUUACACUAGUCACAAUAUCCAAAACAGUAAAGAACAUACCCAACUUCCUUUUGGGAUAGCUAAAUACCCUCUCCAGGCUAUGGCAGCCGCCUUGACAAAGGAUAAAAUAAAACCUACCUACCCAAUCCCUAAAAGACCUAUUUAUAUACCUCAUCUCAUCAUUCUUUCAUUUAUGUGCCUGGCCCCACUCGCACAAUCCCUUUCUAUCAUUCCGUCGUCAUUAAUUGUUUGUUCAUUUACCUUUCUGCCCCUCCUUUUAUAUGUGUGAAUGAUUGGGGUCUUACAGAAUGAUGGAAAGGGAUCGUGCGAGUGGGGCCCAUGCAUAGGAAUGAAAGAUUGAUGUAAGGAGGUAUAUAAAUAGAUCUUUUCGAGAUUGGGUAGGUAGGUUUUAUUUUCUUUAUGUCAAGUCAACUGCCAUAGCCUGGGAGGAUAUUUCAGUUAUCACAAAAGGAAGCUAGGUAUGUUCUUUACUGUUUAUCUUGUUAUUUUGGAUAUUGUGACUAGUGUAAUCUUUUGGCUUAUACAUAAAUAAAGUUUAGCAGAGUGUUGUCUCUGUUUUGCCAUUUUGUGUGUGGAAAUAUUUGUGUGUGUUUAGUAGAGUCGUUACAGAGUCAUGUAACAAAUUAUGAUUACACAGGGAUAGGUGAUGGCUAAGAUGCAUAUAAGGAUUUUCCUUUCAAGAAUAUCGAGGAAAGGAAUUCCAUAAGAACAAUAUAAUUUAAAGGUAUCAUUCCAAGCGUCUAAUUUAGGCUCUAAUCUAGCAGACUGACUAAGUUAUAAAUUAAAAGCGGUAAAGAGUUACGUGGAAACCUAAGUACUAGGAGAAAACCACAACCUAACUUUCUUAUUAUUAUCUCAUAUGAACAAAAGAUACAAAGGAGAAAAAAAAAUAAACAAGUUUAAGAUAAAAAAGAAGAGAAUAUUAGGGUUAAUCUUUCCUUGGGCUUAAAGCCCAUUAAUUCUAACAUUAUAUAUCUAGUAUCAGGAAGACAGCGUACCUAUAACUUCUUCAACUUGAACAGGAAUAAAGUGGGCCUGUAAGAGGUUGAGAUGCAUACAUGCAAAUCAGUUACAGCUGAGAGUGACUAAAGAGGCAAUUGUUUUGUGAAGAAUAAUAAUGUUUACACUGUUAGGCUUCUUCAAGCAAUCAAAUCUUCUGCCAGCUUCUGAGAAUCUCAACCAACCCAUCACCAACCUAUAAAAAAGUGACUAUGUCAAGAUUCAGUUCUUAAAUUUCUUCCUCAAUGAAAAUGUCAAGAUUCAGUUCCUAAUUUUCUUCGACAAGGAAAACAGAUUGCAGCACUAAGAGGAUAUUUAACAGAAUCUAAUGGUAUAGAAAACCCUGACGUGGGUAUCAACCCACAAGGAAAACAGCUUCUGAGAAUAUGUUUUCCUCGAUACUUACCCAUUACCAACAGAAACCUGAGAAAAUACAAGUUUAAAUGUCAGAAACAGACAUAAACUAUAUGAUUAAAAGAAGAAUGCAAUUGAUCGGCAAGAGUAUCUUCCUAAUUCAACACCUAAUAGUGAUGCAAGACAACAAGAAACGAUUGUGCAUUUAUUUUAUCAAAGAACAGGCUUUUGUGGCACGCAGCCAACCCUGAAUACUAUACUGAGAUUGGAUCCCACAUGAACCAAUAUAAUCAUGGAGGAAAAGAAGAUAUGUAAAUUGGAGCCAAAGUAAAAUGAAGUGCAGCACCAACCACAUUCAGAUUAUGCCGGCUACAUUGCAAAAGAAUGCAGAUGUCGUUGAUUGCCCGGUCAACAACUGACUGAUCUGAAAAAUAUUCAUCAUUAUAUGAGGAAGUCAAUGUCAUUAAGCUCUGGUGUACAAUAACCAAGCAAAACAAGGAAAGGUUCAGAAAAUCUCCUGCCACGAACUUGAUGAAAUCAUAAAUUUGAAGGAUAUGUUGAAAUUCAAAUUUUCUGAACAGGCAUGCAAAUUAAUUGUUGUAAGAUGUUGCAUCUUAGAACAUAAUUGCGGGUUUGAUUACCUGUAAAUAUAGAGGGAUGCAUAUAAUAUAUAUCUCUCUUUGAGCUAUGUCUAUUUUCUCCCAGAAGCUGCUGAAUUAUGAGUAGAACUCUAAGCAAGACAUCUGAUAGAACAAAAUAAUAUCAAAUACAAGUGUACUCUAUAGUCUGUACAGAUUAUGAUUUUGUAGUAUCAUUCAUCGGAAUAACUAAUUCACCUAGUCUACGGACGUGGCUUUCCCUUUGAAGUGUUAGAACAUCCUUCCCUUCAGAUAAAUUGAACCUACAACAACUGCAUAAAAAAUUAGCGAAAAAUCAUCUAAACGUCUCUUUUGGUACAAAUAUCGUUUUCAAAACACAAGUCCAAUUUCAAGAUAGUGUCAUCUUCACAUUCAAGAACUAUAACUUUCUUGAAAAAUAAAAAUAUUAUGUCUAAAAACUAAAGAAUGACUGAAAACUAGGUCAUAAACAUAAAAUGCAUUUGAGUUAAGAAUUGAGAUUGAGCAGUGACUUUUGAAAAUGACAAAUCAUAGCUAAACUAUGCAACUCUGCUUCAAGUUCUAGAGAUAUAUUCGCAUCUGAAGUAACACUGAUUUUCUGCUGGUAUUUUGUGAGCGACUACUGAUUUGGCCUUCGACACGAUCCAAUAGACCCGGUAGUAGAUAAAUAAUCGAAAACUAUAGAAAUUUUUCGCACGAAUAGGGAAAUGAAUAUUCGUAGUCUAGUAAAGCACUUAAUAACAUUGUAGAUCAUGAACUUUAUUUGGUUACCAAUUCGAAGAUUCAAAAGAUUGGAAGCAAAAUAUUCUAUACAGAAAAUUACGAACCAGUUUUCAAGGGAAUUGGAGCAGUAACUUUUGAAUCGAUCGAUGGCGAUCAUCCUGGAGCUUCCAUUGCUCAGUUCGACGAUCAUAGAUCUCGUUAGCUCUGCAAAAGAUUGUAUUGGAAAACGGAAAGAAAAUAGCAACGACGAAACAGAAAUCAACUGGAAUGAAUAUGAGAAUCAGAAAAAUCAAUGGAAUUGCGACCUGUGAUUUUUCUCAUUACUUCAAUUCUCUCCAAGCUUCCUCGGUUUCCCUCCAUUUUUCUUCGAUGCGAUUGGUUUUCAUGUUUUGAAUGCGGCCUGUGUGGUGUACGCAUUAGUUUAGGGGGAAAAGAGCGAAAAAACUUGGGGAAUUGACGAAAAUAGGCCAAAAAUGGGGUAAAAAAAGAGUUUUAAGAUUGAUAGUAAAAAAGUUGAGAUUUAUGAUAAAUUUGGGGUGAAAUGACGAAAAUAUUCUUAUUUAAUUUCUUCUUUCCUCUUUUCUUCAACCUAAAAACAGAACAACGCUAAAAAAAACUUAAACUUGAACCUCCCGCUUAUACAGUUCCUUCAACUUGGUGCCUCCAGUGAACGUCUCUUCUCUUCCAUCCAUUUCUUCUCCACUUCCAUCCAUUUCUUCUCCACGACUCUCCACUCUUUUCCGAUUUCAAAUUUUUUACCGAACCUCUCCAUUUCUUCUCCACGGGUCUCUGUUUUAGUUUCGACUUCAACUCCGGUGAACGCUUCUCCACUCCUUUCCGAUUUCAGCUUUGUUUUCACCGGACCUCUCCAUUUCUUCUCCACUCCUCUUCGUUGGCAGUGUCGUAUCCAUCAUCUUUGAAGUCAAGUGAGUAAUAAAAUCUGAGUUUUUUUUUUAUAAAUCAUUUUUUUAAAGUUGUCUGUUGAGAUAUGAGUUUUUUGUUGGGCACAUUUUAGAUAUAUCAUUAAAUUUGUAGAGAAAAAAUGCAUAUGUCGUACAGGCACACACACAUAGAGAGUCGUGGGAACAUGAAUUUCGUUUAGAAUGCAUGUUUAACUAGUUUACAGAGCUUUAAUGGUUUAGGGUUAACAAUUUUAUUAGACUUGGCAAAUAAUAACCUUGAAUUGUUUAUCUCGCACCUACCAAAAUUUGAGUAGAAGUUUCAAGAGGAUAGUGCUACCCUUCCUAAACCGUUUAGAAUGCAUGUUUAGCUAGUUUACUGGGCUUUAAGAGUUUAGGGUUAGCAAUUUUAUUAGACUUAGCAAGUAAUAGCCUUGAAUUUUUUAUCUCGCACCUAUCUCACACCUACCAAAAUUUUAGUAGAAGUUUCAAGAUGAGAGUGUUACCCUUCAUAAACCGUUUAGAAUGCAUGUUUAGCUAGUUUACUGGGCUUUAAGAGUUUUAGCUAGUUUAUUGGGCUUUAAGAGUUUAGGGUUAGCAAUUUUAUUAGACUUAACAAGUAAUAGCCUUGAAUUUUUUAUCUCGCACCUACCAAAAUUUGAGUAGAAGUUUCAAGAUGAGAGUGUAUCCAUGUUUAGUAAGUCUCUUAUGCAAUUAUAUUUAAUUUGUUUAUUUUUUAUGCAGGCUUCAGUAUGACUUCGACAUCAACUGAUGGUCUCAUGUACAAGAUUGACCCUUCUCAUCAUUUUCAUGCUAUAGUAAGCAGUUUGCAUCAUUUAGAAAAUAGUACGCGUAAUAUAAAGGCAAAAUUGAAACCGGAUCAAUUAACAUUUGAUAUUUGUCUUAUUGUCUUAUUAUAUUUCGGUCUGACAUAAAUACAUAUACAUGCAUGUAUAUUUUUUUUCUUUCCAGCAAUUAUUAGUUGCGAAGUGGCAUGAAUACCAAGAAUGUAUUAAAGAGAAUCGGCCAUUUCACUGGAAGGAGGAGUAUCGAUUGGUUGACUAUGUCGUCGGAUCAAAAGAAGACUUUCAAGAUCCUUGGGCGAAUGUUGAUUACAUUUACUCUACAUUCAAUAUCCAUGGUAAUCAUUGGAUUCUAUUAUGUCUUGGACUUGGUCAGUUGUCAAGUUAAGGCAUGAGAUUCGCUUCCGUCGCUUACGAGUGUCGAAGAUAUGAGAAGCAUAUUAAUGCCAAUUCAAGAGAUGGUGCCAAAUUUGCUAGAUACUAUUGGAUUCUUUGCUAGGAGAGGCAGAUCAUCAACACACAAGGAACCUUGGCCACUUGUCAUUGUUGACUCCAUUCCACUGCAACUCAACAAUAGUGAUUAUGGUGUAUUUACCAUUAAGUAUUUCGAAUACGAAGCUUCUGGUUUAGAUGUAGCAACAUUAUGUCAAGAAAACAUGUCAUAUUUUAGAAAACAAUUGGCAUUUCAAUUAUGGACCAACAAUCCCAUGUAUUGACUUUUAGUUGCAAAUUUUGAAGGAAUUGUAUAUGUUGCGAACUAUGUACAUAAAUAGAUUUAUAUAAUAGAAUGAAUACCAUUGUUAUUUUAUGGUCUGAAUUUUUUAUUUUAUUCUUUUGGAAAAAUUGUCAAGUGUGCAGUAUGUACAAUCCCAUAAGCAUAAUUUGAGAUGUGGUUAUCUUGCAUUUUGAUAAUAUGAAGACUAUACAGUUGAUUUGUUUUUUGUAGGGGCUACUGCUAUGGACCAACAUCAUUUGGGUUUGGUUAGAGAAAGAAAUGGAACCAGUCAUAAUCAAUUUAGGUGUUGAAGUGAGAGAGAUAUAAUUAAAAGUAUGGUAUCCAACCAACUUUUUUGUCUCUAGCUAAAGAAUCAUUUUGCCAGCUUGUUGUGUGAUUAAGUGGUAGGAAGUAGGCACAAUGCUGAUCUUUUUUGGAUCAUUUUGCCAUGGUUCCUUGCACUUUUACAUUUGUUUGAUUCAUGAUCAUUUUUUUUAGAGACAAAAACAGUAGUCUUUUUUCCAUUUUGUAUUAUGAAAGUUUUUUGCUGAUUUUUUUUCCUUUUACAUGUUCAGAAGGAAACACAACCGUUAAAACACAACCAUUAAGAAAGUUGACAGCUACGAAAUGUUUACGAUAUUGUGAGAUACAAAAAACAAUAGUUAAAAGUCACCCUAAAUCAAUUCGUUUUAGAUUAAACAUUUGAAUUUAAGAACCUGCGAGAUGUCUAAGAGAUGUUUGCGAGAUAAAAUAAUAAUAAUAAUAACUUGCUAACAUCAUUUGAAACAUCUCUAAAACAACCCUAAAUCAACUUGAAAUAAUUAAAAAUUAUAUUUGAUUUAUACGUUUAAGAUGCAAAUAUAUAUACAUAUAACACAACACAAUUCAUAUUAAAAAAAAAAAUUAAAACAAACCACAGUGCGUGAGAUGUUCGCCGGAGUAGAGGAUGAAUGACACUGGAGUAAAGCGGAAAGUUGACAAACUUUUGAGAGAGGAGAAGAACUGCAAAUAGAUUUUUUUUUUUUCCUUUACGUACUCUACAUUGAAGAGAGAGAUGUUGGAAGAGAAGAGCAAAUGUGAAGUAAAAUUAAAUAAGGGUAUUUUCGUCAUUUCACUCUAAAUUUGUCCUAAAUCUCAACUUUUUUACUAUCAAUCUUAAAACUCUUUUUCUACCCCAUUUUUGGCCUAUUUUUGGCAAUUCCCCAAAAAAACUUUAGAAACUUAUUUUUGUUUAUUACAAUUUGAACUACAGUUAACAAUAUAUAAUAACUUGGGUUUGAAAUGCACAUUAUUUUAGUAAUAAUACGUAUGUAACGUCCAAAUUUAGGAAAGAAAUAUUUAGAUCAAACCUAAAUGAGAGAAAUACACAACUCUAACAAAAUAUAUUUACUUUAAGAUAAUCUAACGUUAACCUUGUCUAUAUACCAGGUGAAGCUCAAAGUGUCCAUUGUUUUGUUGUUGUAGUUGAUCCCAAACAAGGUAAAGACAACCACAAGAUAUUCUCUACUGUUUUCUUGGACUUAUAAUUAGUUUGUAAGAACUAAAAUGUUUGUUGAAUUGAGAUAGAUUUUGGUGAGAUUUGCUUAAUACUCACUAAAUUUGAGUAAAUGACUUUAAACCUUCGUCAAAAUUAAUCCCCGCCUACUUAUAAGUCAUGCAAGUGGUGCAUAAACUCACAAUAGUCCAUUCAAGAUGAACAAUUGGAUACAUCCACUUAGUUGAUCUUUAAUUUUUCCACUAUCAAAUUAUUACAUAAUUAUAUGAAUUUUGUAAUUUAUUUGGCCUUAAAUUAAUUAGUUUUCAAUAUAAUUAUAUAAUAUCAAAUUAUAAAAUAAUAAAUAUUUUAAUUAAUUAUAAUUUAAUAUCCAAUAUUAAAAUAUUAUUUUAUCUAUUUAUUUGGGUCAAUCAAAUCUAUUUAAAUAUCAUUUCUCUCUCAAAUCUAUUUAAAUAUCAUUUCUCUCUGAAUUUGUAACUAUUAAUCAUAUCUACUAUUAUUAAAGAUUCUAUCUCUAAUUCAAUUCGAACAAUUCCAAUUUUUUGAUUGCAAUGUUUUAAGUUUAAUUUCCUAACGAGCUAGUAGGGUUUUACAAAUUAGGAUCUCGAAUGAUCUAGAUUUACCAGCUAAACUAUUAUAUAUAAUCUAGUAACCAACAUUCGUUAAGUAACAAAAUUGUCUACAACAGCUCAUAACUACACUCUCCUCACUGUAGAUAUUUAUAUAUUUACAUCCAUUUGAUAUAACCAUGAUUAGUCAAUCAACCAUUCACAUGUUCAUAAUUUUGGUUAGGUCAAAGUAUUGUUUUACCUCCGAAAUUAUAUUUUGUUCCUUAAGCCUCAGUUGAUCCUCUAAUGAAAUAUUGGUUUGUGGUCUAAUCAUUAAACUGAGUCCCUCUUAGGCCAAUGAGAGGGCGAAACCCCUUGUUUAAGAUCUAGAGUCAGCACUUAAGAGAACAUCAUUUCUACAUUCCCUAGAUGCAAAUUGAAGUUAAUCCCAUUUUGCACCAUAUGUCCCCAAUUACAUAGGUUUGAUUACUUUUGGAAUAAGAGGUCUAUUGGGCUAACGCUGACGAGUUGUCCUCACCUAUGCAGAUCUAUAGAUAAUCCAAGUAAAGAGGAGUUCAUAGUUAGUUUAACCUAGGUCAUCAAAGUUGAAAUAGUCAGUUUUAAACAAUAAACGGUGUUAUAAUGUAAAAGUGACUAUUUCAUGGUCCGAUCUUAUGCAAACUCUUUUACAUAGAAUACCUCCCCUUGCACGUCUCUGUAUGAGCGAUUUGGAAUUAUUUCACAUAUACUAAAUGAAAAGUGGGUUAGAUCCCUUGUGUUCCCAUAAUAAGGCAUUCAAUUUUAUUCCUAUACUAUAAGUCAUUUAGAUUAUUUACUCGAAUUUGAUCCACAUUUAUGUCACUUCAUAGAGUUCAAGUACUCUAUUGUAGUCAAUAAAUCUUAGUUUAUUGAAUUUUAGUUUGUAACGAGCAAAUCUCUUAUUUAAGAACAAUAAUUCAAUAACAACUUUAUUGAAUAUUAGAACAAUUUAUACUCACAAUCAAGAGUUUUAGAACAUAAAACUAACAACCGGAUAUUAGCUUGAAACUAUCUAACAUAAUAGAACAUGAUAUUGUAACUAGGUAGAGCCCAAUAUUUACUUUUGAAACCCAAUUAAAAGUUGACUGGCAUUGUUUAAAUAAAUGACCUACUAAGUAUGAAUACAGUUUAUAGCUAACCUCCCUUUCCCUUACUAGAACAAACAUUUAUGAUGUUUGAGGUGGGAUGUUCAAAAUUUUGUACAACACUUUUGUUGCAAUAAAAUCUCCAAAAAAAAAAAAAAAAACCAGACUUUGUUUGAUAAUCAUUGUUGUUUCUUGUUUUUUUGGAAAAAAGAAAUGUAAACAUAAUUUUUUUAUAUUAAUUUAUUGUUUCGUGUUACUUGUGUUAUUUUUUAAAAAAUAUUUUAACUUAUUUUAGUUUAAAUAUAAUUUAGUUAUGUAAAAAGAUAUAUAUAUAUAAUUCAUUAAAAUAUGAAAAGCAUUUUCACAAAUAGCAAAAUAUUGAAACUAUCUACAAAAUAUAGGAAAAUUCAUCGAACUCUCUGAGCCUAUUUGAAAAUUUUGCUAUAUUUUGUAAAUAAUUUCAUUUUUUUGUGCUAUUCAUGAUAAUUUUCCAAAAAAUAAUCAUAAAAUACACAUAAGUCUUGUUGCAAAAUUAAUAACCAUAAUACAAUAGUUUUUAUUAAUUAUAAACGGUUAAAAUUUGAUUUGAAAUAUGAUUGUUCAUUCAAUUUAUUUCUCCUAAAUUAUUUAAAUUCAACUCAAUUAUAUUAUUACAUAAAUAAUGUGGUUGUAAAAUAGUAAAGAUAACUCAAUAUAUUGUUACAUACAUACAAUGUUUGUAAAAUAUUAACGAUAAUCUAGUGAGAAAAUUAUAUAACUCAAUUAUAUUAUUACGAAAUAGGGUGGUUAUAAAAUAUUAAAGAUAAUAUAGUGAAAAAAUUAUAUAAGGUAAAUUUCUAACUAAUUUGAAUGAUACUAUAAAUAAUAAAUUUUAUUUAAAAUAACAUAUAAACUAAUUUUGAAAAUUGAAAAAUUGAAAAAAUUUAAAUAAACAUACUGACAAUUUAAAUUGAGAAGAUCAAUAUAAUAUAUAAAUUUAUAAUAAAUAUAGCUAGAUAGAAAGAAAAUUUUAAAAUUAGAUCUAAAUUUUGAAAAUCAAAUAAGAUUGUUUGACAAAUUAAAAUAAUAUAUUUUAUAAAAGUUUAUUUAUUAAAAUAACAUAUUUAGAAGAAAUUUUUAAAAAACAAAUUUAUAUAUAAAAACGUCUAGCCAAGUUUAAAUUUUAAACUCAUUUAGAAAAAAGUAUUUAAAAAAAUAUAUUAUUAAAAAACAUUACGUUCUUAAUUCAAUCGAUUGAAAAUUUAGAAUUAAAUUAAAAUAUAAUUAUAAAAAAUUAGUAGAAGAAAAAAUAAAAACAAAUUAAAAAUAUUAAACAUACAUAGAAAAGAUUAAAAAAAGAAAAAAAGAAAAAAAGAAGUUAAAAAUUAUUAAACAUAUAAAUACGAAAAGAUAAGUAAAUAAAAAAAGAGUUAAAACAUAUAAAAAGAAAGAAAAAUCUUCAUAUCUCUCCACCAAUAAGUUAAGAGAUUUGAUUUUAAGAUAUAAAAAAAAUAAAAUAAAGUGAGAACAGAACUAGUUUUAUUUUUGUUCAAUUUUAAAUUUAAAACGCCUCCCAAAUGGAAAUUGCAGCCAAACAAGCCGCUUCCAGAAUACGAUACACCGACUUCCAAACAGUCCCUCUAACUUCAAACCAUUCCUCUCUCUCUUUGCCAAAGCCCUACUUUCAAACUUGAAGAAAACAAACAAAAUUGGAACACAAAAUUGAUCUAAACCCUAAUCUUCCAACAAUGUCCCCUCUCAUUUUCCGAUCCCGAUUCUUUUCCCUUCUGAAGAAUCGCCAUGGCCGUCUUAUGAGCUCCGACCUCGCUUCAACCCCUUCCAAAGAUGCCCUCAAUGCCUCUCAGAAGCUCGUCUCCGAUCAGAUUCCACCUGAUGCUCAAACCACUUCUGCUAUUUCUUCUUCUUCUUCCUCUAGUAAGCCCUGGAAUUUCUUCAAGUAUAGUUUGAUUGGUGCUCUCACAGGUGCAACUGCGGUUGCUGGUUACGCC
RNAcentral lists this long non-coding RNA (28059 nucleotides) under Cucumis sativus (cucumber). Its description in RNAcentral is "long non-coding RNA (CSAT_LNC002729)". Lineage: Eukaryota; Viridiplantae; Streptophyta; Magnoliopsida; Cucurbitales; Cucurbitaceae. The record is from RNAcentral.